GGGCGCUUAGCUCAGCUGGUUUAGAGCGUCUGCCUUACAAGCAGAAGGUCAGAGGUUCAAAUCCUCCAGCGCCCACCA
This 78-nucleotide transfer RNA is filed under the name Candidatus Goldiibacteriota bacterium. Its description in RNAcentral is "tRNA-Val". It matches the Rfam family "tRNA". Rfam says of the family: Transfer RNA (tRNA) molecules are approximately 80 nucleotides in length. Their secondary structure includes four short double-helical elements and three loops (D, anti-codon, and T loops). Further hydrogen bonds mediate the characteristic L-shaped molecular structure. tRNAs have two regions of fundamental functional importance: the anti-codon, which is responsible for specific mRNA codon recognition, and the 3' end, to which the tRNAs corresponding amino acid is attached (by aminoacyl-tRNA synthetases). tRNAs cope with the degeneracy of the genetic code in two manners: having more than one tRNA (with a specific anti-codon) for a particular amino acid; and 'wobble' base-pairing, i.e. permitting non-standard base-pairing at the 3rd anti-codon position. The record is from RNAcentral. Lineage: Bacteria; Candidatus Goldiibacteriota.